GAGGUCAGGGUCAUGGCGCAAGCAAAAUUUGCCGUUCUUUCCGGCUUAAGUCACGGAAAAUGGGAACAAAACGUGAAUCUAUUUAGGUGUCUCUUAUUUUAAGUCAAUGAUUGGGCACAAUAUCCCUUUUUGAGGAGAAAUCUAGACUCGUGACUUAGCCGCCUGUGACGCAUCACGCGAGUACGUGAUGGAUCGUGCACCUUGGCCCCAGCCCGCGCGAUUACGUCAUCACCGAGAGUGAUUUAAAAUAGAGGUUGUCCUUUGUUCGCUUUUCCGCUUCAGGAGUCCGUGAAAGAGAGUGGUCAAAUGCCACAAAACCGCAUCAAACGGUCGGUUCGCUCCAUCUCCAGCUGUCCCGUCAAAGAACGAAGGACAGAAGAAAGAGAAGCGCAUUCAAUUGAAGUGUUUAGAGAGGGUAACACAAAGAACGCUUCGGUGACACAUGAGUCGGAACUGACAAGGAACAGCAAAAGCCGUGCCGUCCUUUGAAGUAGCGGGGAAAUUAUUCAGUCAUAAUUAACUUGAUCGCUUCUCGUUACGGGUAGUCAUCUCCAAAUUUCAACCGCUCAGCCGGAGAGAGCAUUUGGAGGAAACAGUGGCAGCAUGGUCUGUCAGUUGGUUUGAUCGCAGCAAAGUUUUUUGAAAGCCGUGAACAACAGGUUUUUUUCACAUUUUAAAAAUUCUUUUUACAGAGACGUGCUGCGAGAGAAAUGGCUGGUAAAACACUUACUUUGUCACUUGUAGUUAUGUGGUGUUUCACAAUUUUAGAACCGUAUCUUCUGCUUACCGGAAGCCCAAACACUGCGCUGGUGGGCGAGAAAUGACUUGUAAUUAUUGACUCAGUUGAACUACGCUAGUCGUGAUCAUACUGUGAAUGAGAUAACUGUGUUUUCUAACUAAACCAAGAGUCAAUACAGAGUUUUCUUUAACUCAAUUCUCUAAACAGUCGGCUCAGACGAUUUAGAGCAUUGUUCUCAGUUAAAAAAACUACAGUCUAGUGGUCUCAUCGCUCUUUGUUACGCCAACGCAUUAAACUUUUUUUCUUUUUUCGUCACCUCUAAAACCACUGAUUCAUAACUGAGGUAUUUUUUUUCUAUGACUCUCGAUUUUGAGUAUGUGACUUGCCAAGAUUUUA
Molecule: long non-coding RNA, 1135 nt
Organism: Orbicella faveolata
Lineage: Eukaryota; Metazoa; Cnidaria; Anthozoa; Scleractinia; Merulinidae
Source: RefSeq, a predicted model, not a curated record